AUAAAAUAAAGGUAGGCUCU
This 20-nucleotide microRNA is filed under the name Nematostella vectensis (starlet sea anemone). RNAcentral describes it as "nve-miR-2039-3p". Lineage: Eukaryota; Metazoa; Cnidaria; Anthozoa; Actiniaria; Edwardsiidae. The record is from miRBase by way of RNAcentral.